UACAGAGGUCUCAAGCGUUGUUCGGAUUCAUUGGGCGUAAAGGGUGCGUAGGUGGCGCCGUAAGUCGGGUGUGAAAUUUCGGAGCUUAACUCCGAAACUGCAUUCGAUACUGCGGUGCUUGAGGACUGGAGAGGAGACUGGAAUUCAUGGUGCAGCAGUGAAAUGCGUAGAGAUCAUGAGGAAGACCAGUGGCGAAGGCGGGUCUCUGGACAGUUCCUGACACUGAGGCACGAAGGCCAGGGGAGCAAACGGG
This 253-nucleotide ribosomal RNA is filed under the name uncultured bacterium. Its description in RNAcentral is "partial 16S ribosomal RNA". It matches the Rfam family "Bacterial small subunit ribosomal RNA", at positions 524 to 776 of the family's 1533-position model. The record is from RNAcentral.